Long non-coding RNA from Orcinus orca (killer whale), 6303 nucleotides. RefSeq lists it as uncharacterized. The transcript is spliced from 2 exons. NCBI's taxonomy places the organism in Eukaryota, Metazoa, Chordata, Mammalia, Artiodactyla, Delphinidae. The record is from RefSeq and is a predicted model, not a curated record.
CACGCCCCUCCAUCCCGCCGCCUGCCUGCUGUCUCCUCCCACCUCGGGCUAUUUUUGGUCACCAAGGCUUUGCUCCUACUCUUUUCCCCCUGCUAACCACUUUGCCCAGCCCUCUCACAUCUUUCCGAACUCAGCGUCGGCCUUGUGCCUGCAUAAGCUGCUGUGGACCUGGGCUGGGGCUGGCUGGUGCCCCCACCCGCCCCCCCUCCCGUUUUGAGCCCAGCCCGUCGUAUUGACGUGAUCUGCUUGCAGAUCUGUCCCCACUAGGCUCAGCACGCCCCCCCUUCCCCAGGGCAGGAACUGAAUGUCGCCCAGCUCGUUGCCCAGCUCUGGGGCCCCACGGGAACUCAGGGGACCUAUGGGGAACCGGGUUUAAUGAGACACCCCUUAUGAAAGCAAUGUCACGUUUCCCCUUGGAGGGAAAGGACCCAUGGAAACCUGUCACCACCAAGGGAGAGUGCCAAGCCGCAUCCUCGGGCUAAUAUUCAAAGUGAAUGUUUCUGUGCACAGCCCAGGAAUGUGGGACUGGGAGCCACCGGGGUGAGGGCAGACCCAGCACGUGCCUGACUGGGGCAGUACUGACCCACCCUGGGCUGCCCCCUCUCAGCCCCUCCGUUGGUCUGAGAGAGGUCAGGCCCUAAACACACACCAGAGGAAGGGCCGCCCUUUGGCAGGCAUGUCAGGGGCAGGGUUGGUGCCCUUGCUAGUCCUCCCUGCUCCGGGCGCUAAGUUGGAGGGCUGUUUGUGCCUGUCUCAUGGGGUGGUGCUCCCUGUCCCCACGGAAGGGGAGCUGGACCCUCCUGGGAACAACCUGAGGGUGCUGGUGACUGGGGGAAGAAGGGGACAGUAAUGUAUCCACCUGUGGCUUCCCCCCCUGCUGCAGUCAAAGACUCCUGCCAGGCACAGCCCCUCCUGGGGCUGUCAUGUCCAUGCCAGGUCAGGAGGGUGGCUCUGGCUGGGAGGAUGCUGAGUCCAUGGCAGUGAAAGCUGCUCACGUGGGGUAACCGAGUCAUCCAUCCACAGGAGUAGGUCCUCACCUGUGGAGGUUUCCAUAGGAAGGGAGACCAAGUUCCUGCUCACAGGCUACUUGUACGGACCUGACAGAAGCCUGCAAAAUGCCUGCAACAUGCAGGGUGACUUCUUGCUUUGUCUUGCACCCUCCAUUCCCCCACCCUGAAAGCCUCUUCCCUGCCAGCUCUGGCCUGGCUAACUCAUCACUCAGACUUCAGCACUCAGUUGAGAUGUCCCUCCUCCGGGAAGCCUUCUCUGAACCUUCUCUACCCGACCACCAAGGCCUGGCUUUGGGGCCCUGCUACGCAUCUCUGACAUCUCUGCUUUUUAUCUUGCAGAUCUGAUGGCACUGUGUUCGUUGUUGGCCUCCCAGUGGACUGUGGGCCCUUGAGGUGCUUCCCAGAGCCUUCACACAGAGACCCCGCAGUUCCUCCUUCGGAGUACUUUUCUCUGGCUCAGAAGUUCUGAAUCAGGAUAAAUGGUUUUCAAGCCCCCAAGAAUUUGGAAAAGGUAAGUUAGAAGAGGGAGGUAAGUUAGAUAUCAGCACAAAAACACUAAGGGGACACAGGUCGUAUUCAAAGCAGACUUGAGACGCAUACCAGUGCAGCUGCCCGUGUGGUUUAGCAUCGGGCACUCGGUAGUCACAGCGCAGGGGCCUGAGCACCAGAUGCUCGUGUGACCCAGGUUCUCAGGAAAUGUUAAGAUAUGUUCAGUAGGGUCUGUUUAAGCUGUGAUACUCAUAAAAUCUCUUAAAGAGUCCUAACCAAGAUAAAUUCUGGUGUUUCAAAGGGUUAUAUAUCAGCUCUCUGAAAGACUUAAGCUAUUCAGAAAGAUUCUGCAUGAUAGAGUUCAUGCUGCCCUUUCCAAAUCCACGGGGCUGAGGACAAACUGAGACCACUGAAGCCGCGUGGCCCUCACAACCCACUGGAUUCAACCCCUAACCCCCAACACGCCCCACUGCCCUCCUCAGACAUUCCCAGGCAAGUGGCUUCAAGGGUGCAAGGCAUGAAGCUGCCUGGGGUCUUCCAGGACACCUUACCUGGGAAAUGUGAAGGGAGCCCCUUCCCUCUUCCCUGGUGGCAGGAACAGCUGCAUGUAGGCCUGAUUCAGGGUGGGGCUUGGGGUUGUGUGGUGGUAAUGGAGGGCAUGAGACAUUCUGAGUGCCCUGGGCGAUCUCCCAGAGAGUGGCUCUCAGGACCAUCAGCCGGGCUGGGGGAGCUUAGAAAACUCCCCACCGUCCCCUGCAACUGUGACCCUCUGUGCCCCUGCUUCCUUUUCCCUUCAGAGGCUGUGCAGCCUAAUCCACGGUCCAGGUCAGACCCAGAGAGGUCACCCCAGCCCUUGGUCCAGGCAUUCAUUCUUGGGCUUUGGGUCCCAGGACCUCAAAAUCCCAAAGGGCAGGAGAGGAGAGAGGCAUGGGCCCUGCAGGGGUGCCCACUAGAGCCCAUUCCCUGGCCUUUGGGAAGAAACUCUUACCUCUCUAAGAGAGAGCCUCUCUCUCAGGAAUCCUAGUUUCUCUUAACCAAGGUGCCAGGAACUGUAGACCAGGGACUCUGAGAAUUGUGGAAAAGAUCUUGAGCUUUGUAACUCCCUAUGUCCAGUUCUGCCUUUACCUGGUGUCUUUGUUUUGAUGAGCAAGAAAACCCUUAAUAUAAAAAAAAAAGCAAGAUGCUCAUUUUUGGCAGCAGUUCGGAGAGGACCAGGAGUACAUCCCCCAGCAGCUUGCCGUAAACAGGGGAAACUGGAAUGAGAGUGGAUGGGGGCUGUUUUAAAGAGGAAGGGGAAGCCAGCUGAGUCUCAGGACCUGAAGCAAGGAAGAAAUAGGAACACAGGAAGAGUUCAGGGGCCUGGUGACAAGGGAGGCGCCCAGCUUCCUCAGGGACCCAGGAAGUGGGCCUCAGGCUUGUCCUCCCUCCUCUUUCCUUCUACCUCCCCCUAGACCCAGCCCUGGGGACUGUCACCAGGGAUUGGCAUCUCUGUAGUCCAGCCAUGACACUAUUUGCCCCAGACACUUCCAGGAUGACAAAAGGGGUUGUUUCCAUGAGGCCUGACAUAGCUCAAGCUCCUGCCACCCCAGAGUCCUUAGAAGCCUCCAUGCAGGGGCCUCCCCUCCAGGCAGAUACCUUUCUUAGCAGCACUAUUUGCUACCAUAGAGCGAGUACCUGGGCACACACAGUUUUAAGACAGCCAGAGGCCCUGCUUUGUCUAGAACAGAACCUGCCCUCCCUAUGCCCUCCACAUCCAAGUGGUUUGAAGGCACCAUGAAGAUGGCUGAUUUGGGCAGCCAGCAGUGGCCAUGGCUGCCUCCCAAACUGCACGGCUUCCCACACUCUGGCAGUCUCGGAGAAGCAUGGGAGACCUGCCAAACUUCACCAUGCCCCUGAAAAGGGCUUAGGAGUUAGUUCAGAAAGCUGACUGGCCCUGAGGAGUCUGGUGGUCACGAGAAGGAGACACGUGCAGCAGAGAAAAUAGUGAGUCCGGGGAUCAUAGACCCUCCAGCAAUUAAAGAGGCUACAACUUGGUGGAGGCUACACAGGACAGAGGGGCAGCAGCAGAUCAGAGAUCUUCUCUCAUACCUAACAUUGCUAACAGAGGUCUACCCAGGGGAAAAAGGCGAUGGAGAAAAUCAUGAACUGAUAGGUUUAAAAUGAAAGAAGUGAGAAAACAUGUAUGGGACCUACUUUUCCUGGAAAGGUUAGUUUUUCAUUUUCUUUCAUCAGGUGGAUUGAGUAACCUAAAAAAUCAAGUUGUAUUUCCUGCACAAAGCUUCCUGGCUGGAGUGGGGGCAUACAAGCAGAGAUCAGAGUUUAUUCUGACUGACAUGGCUGGAGGGUGCCCAAAGCGUUGUUAUGCCGGGUGUGGUCCAAGGCGAAGCAGCCAUCACCUGAGGUGUGUUAGAGAUUCAGUUUCAGGUCUCACCUUAGACCGUCUGAAAUUCAACCUGCAUUUUAAGAAGAUCCGAGGUGAUUCAUAUCUAUACUAAAGUUUGAUAAGCAUUACUUAAAGGGAUGAUUCAGAAGUUUCAAAAAAAAUUUAACUUAAACUUAGUUUAACUCCACACAAAAUCUUUAGCUAGCAGUAGAAGCAGAGCUGCUCUGUUUAAUUUGGGUGGCCCAUAUCCCUUUUUGUUUAUCACUAACAACAGCCCUUGAGGCACAUCUGGGGAUCUCUAAAACUCUAGGUCCAGGGAAUCUCCAGAGACUCCUGAGUGCUUCAACAAAGCCCUAGGCAUGGAAACUGUGAUAGUAAGCCCAGUGCAGACUCCACAUUUCCAGGGCUGCUCAUGGGGCAGCCCACAAUCUUAAAAUCUGCUUACCUAGGGCCCCAGAGCUGGCUCAUGUGGCAAGGGAAACCUGUUCGAAAAGAUGGCCUCACUGUGAUCCAGUGAGAUCUGCACUGGAGGACUGGACCUCCAGGCUCCCUGAGGGAUGCUCCUUUUAGCAGGCAGGAGCCCUCCCCAGUCUUUUUCUAUGUUAAGGGACUGGCUCUUUGGGUUCACAGGUGAGAGCUGUCCAUCUCCCACAGUCUGAGAGCCGCAGUCUUCAGAGAGUGGACAGGCUAGCAUAAGUCAUAACUUGGAGACAGGACUCAAGCUGUUAACGAGUUUGAAGCCUUUGCUUUUAAGAUUCAAGCCCCAUCUGUGAACCCUCAGGUAAGGGAGGGACAGGUGAGGAGGAACAACAUUAAGGCUGCGAGCACCCCUCAAGAUGAAAUGUUAGCUGUGUUUCUUCAGGGACUGGAUUGAAAAUGGGUAAAAGGGGGGUAUGGCACCAUGUCUGGGGACACAGAAGACUGGAGAGCUCUGAUCCAAGACUUACAUGCUUUUCAAGAGAGGAUACUAGCCCAUCUGCAUCUGGGUGAAGCUACACAAGGAUCUGAGUUGUCAGGUCCCUAGAGAGACGACCACUGCUGACCUUGACAAGGUUCUAGAGUCUUGUCACUGGGUAAUGAGAACUGGAAAGGAUCCAUCCUAGUGGGCUUGUGGACCAGGAGCCACAGUGGUGACGACAAUAGGGCAUGGCUAAUUGGGAAACUGACACUGGCUUGCUCUGUGUGAGGCCUUGGUCAAGUUUACCAGCAAGAAAAGAAAGAGCCAGCAUAUAUGACAGUGCUACUUAAGAUCAACAAAAUGAAGACAAGGCUCAUCACCCUUGUGACGGGGUGAGCAGCAGCUUCUCAGGAGCCAGCCACCCCAAUCAAGGGUGUGCAGGGUUAGCCAAGGCUUGGGAGGCCACACAGCCAGCACAUUCGGAACAGCACGAGCCCUGCUCAAAGGUGACGCAAGAGCAUAUGUGAGUGUUUUAUUUAACUCAAUCAGAGAAACACUGCCAGUGCAGGCUGGGAACUCAUUCUUUUCCAGCUGAUCAGAGAGCUAAGUUUUCAAAGCCUGGAUGUCUUUGGAAUCCCUAGUAACAUAUUUCACUGUUUUCCUUCAUGAUUCUUACAAGUACAGCUAACUUUGAUAACACUGAGUUCGUUUCACAGUUCCUUAGUAUUUCUGCUGGCUUAACUGAUUGACAGUGGGUACUGGAACUGCAAAUGGGGUAGGUUUCUGGGGUUUAUAUGCACACAUUUGUACACACAUCACAGUUUUAGAAACUGGGACAAUAAAGUUUCUAUUAGUUGGGGAUUUUAUAUAUUAUACACUGCCAGGAUAAUCUCUCACUUGUGGGUUUUGGGGAAAGAAUCCGUCAGUGUUAAGAUUACCACUAUGUAACUGCCUAAUGGUGGACCAGGUCAAGCUGCCUACGCCUAAGUCCUGGAGGCAAGGUCUGGAGUCAUAAGGAGCCCACACCCUGAGGGCCCUGGCCCGACAGGCACUUGGUCAAGCCUCCUCUCUGAUGGCUGGAGGCGAAUUCCUAUGCCCAAUUAACGCCCACAGGGCACUCCUCAUCACACUGACCACGUGUCCUGACCACAAGAACCAUGACGAUGUUGGGGCUCUGCUUCCCCUUCAUCCUGCCACACUCCCCCAAGAGCCCUACAAUGCCCACAAGGAGAGGCGGCUGCAAAGACCACAGACACCUCAAUUUACAUAAAAUUAUCUCACUCCAUUUUAUUUAAGAUUUUUUUCUCCAGUUAGUAAAAGAAAGAUGUGUCUCUCUUUAUACAUAUGUACAAGUUCAGUUAUAAAAAUAGACAGCACAUUCAAAGAGAAAAAAGGCUUGGCAUUUUUCUGAUUCCCUCUAAAUAGCAUCUGUACACAGGAGUCUGGAUUUGGGCAGGGGAAUCUUAUGAUUUAAAUUAAAUGAUUCCCCUACCACUCCUACUCCCAAAAAAAAGUUUUAAAAA